UCGACUCCCAGCUUCCUUCCCACCACACAUUCAGGCAGACCACACAGCAGGAGCCUCCACAGACUUAUUUAAGUCCACAAAGCAAAUCUGACUCCCUUAACCUUGAGAGGCAAACACUGAGGAAGAGUCUCGCUUCCUUUGUCAGAUGGUCUGAAUCCGGCUCAGGCG
This is a long non-coding RNA of Gavialis gangeticus (Gharial), 168 nucleotides long. RefSeq lists it as uncharacterized. The record is from RefSeq and is a predicted model, not a curated record. NCBI's taxonomy places the organism in Eukaryota, Metazoa, Chordata, Crocodylia, Gavialidae. The transcript has 3 exons.